UCCGCGUCUCGCGGACGGUACUGCGCGAAGCGAUGAAGACGCUUGCCGCCAAGGGCAUGAUCGUACCGCGCGCCCGGAUC
This 80-nucleotide transfer RNA is filed under the name Ensifer meliloti. Its description in RNAcentral is "Sinorhizobium meliloti tRNA-Phe". The record is from RNAcentral. Lineage: Bacteria; Pseudomonadati; Pseudomonadota; Alphaproteobacteria; Hyphomicrobiales; Rhizobiaceae.